Molecule: ribosomal RNA, 509 nt
Filed under: uncultured bacterium
Lineage: Bacteria
Description: partial 16S ribosomal RNA
Rfam family: Bacterial small subunit ribosomal RNA
Source: RNAcentral
GACGAACGCUGGCGGUGUGCUUAACACAUGCAAGUGGCGCGACGAACCAGAGCUUGCUCUGGGGCAAAGCCGCGAACGGGUGAGUAACACGUGGGUAACCUGCCCCGAUGACUGGGACAACCCGGGGAAACCCGGGCUAAUACCGGAUGAAGCAUCCCGGCUUAAGCCGGGAUGCCAAAGGUAGCUUCGGCUUCCGCAUUGGGAGGGGCCCGCGGCCCAUUAGCCUGUUGGUGGGGUAAUGGCCUACCAAAGCAACGAUGGGUAGCUGGUCUGAGAGGACGAUCAGCCACACUGGGACUGAGACACGGCCCAGACUCCUACGGGAGGCAGCAGUGGGGAAUCUUGCGCAAUGCGCGAAAGCGUGACGCAGCAACACCGCGUGAGGGAAGACGGCCUUAGGGUUGUAAACCUCUUUCAGUUGGGACGAAGGUUCGACGGUGAAUAGCCGGCCGGACUGACGGUACCUUCAGAAGAAGCUCCGGCUAACUACGUGCCAGCAGCCGCGGUAA